UGAGAAGCAUUUUUCGGUGUUCAUGUCCUACAGAUUUGAUCCCAUCUACAUUCUGGAAUACAUCUGCCAACAGCUGCAUCAUAAAACAUUUCUCGGAAAGUGUUCCAGUGACAGUGUUUCCCCUGACAAAUCUCAACCAUUAGAGCUACAUCCACAUGCUCCACCAACCUUCCUCGAGAAAGUUUUCCAGUAGAACAGGGGAGCACAAGACAGAGGAAACAAAAGAAUCUCGGACAGUGAGGACACACGCACAGAGCCCUGUGGAAGACAGACUUCAAGGAGCUAUUCCAGGGAAAGUGAAGCAGCAGGCCUAAGGACAAGCCUGUCCCUCUCAGGUAGGAAAGCCUGUGAGGGCGGUCUCUGGGAGAAAACGGAAGCAAGGUUGUGUUCGAAUGUGAAC
This 400-nucleotide long non-coding RNA is filed under the name Cavia porcellus (domestic guinea pig). RNAcentral describes it as "lncRNA (ENSCPOG00000039438.1)". Lineage: Eukaryota; Metazoa; Chordata; Mammalia; Rodentia; Caviidae. The record is from RNAcentral.